AUCAGAAAUACCAGUAAAAGCUGCUGAUAAAUGACGUUCCGUUCAUUUAUCAGCAGCUUUUACUGGUAUUUCUCUAAU
RNAcentral lists this microRNA precursor (78 nucleotides) under Belgica antarctica. RNAcentral describes it as "microRNA mir-241". The record is from RNAcentral. Lineage: Eukaryota; Metazoa; Arthropoda; Insecta; Diptera; Chironomidae.